AGACGGAGGGUGCAAGCGUUGCUCGGAAUUACUGGGCGUAAAGGGUGCGUAGGCGGUCUGUUUAGUCAGGCGUGAAAGCCCUGGGCUCAACCCAGGAACUGCGUUUGAAACUGGCGGACUAGAGUUCGGGAGAGGAGAGUGGAAUUCCCAGUGUAGAGGUGAAAUUCGUAGAUAUUGGGAAGAACACCAGUGGCGAAGGCGGCUCUCUGGACCGAUACUGACGCUGAGGUGCGAAAGCGUGGGGAGCAAACAGGAUUAGAAACCCCGGUAGUCC
Molecule: ribosomal RNA, 274 nt
Filed under: uncultured bacterium
Lineage: Bacteria
Description: partial 16S ribosomal RNA
Rfam family: Bacterial small subunit ribosomal RNA
Source: RNAcentral